This is a non-coding RNA of Cucurbita pepo subsp. pepo (vegetable marrow), 452 nucleotides long. Lineage: Eukaryota; Viridiplantae; Streptophyta; Magnoliopsida; Cucurbitales; Cucurbitaceae. The record is from RefSeq and is a predicted model, not a curated record.
UAUUGUCAAGGAGAUCAAGGUGAGCUUGAAAAUAAAGAACUUGAAGAAAUGUGUCAUUUCCAAGUAUAUGGAUCAACGAAAGUCGAAAUUCCUCGAAAGUCGAUGGAUUACCAGACAGCAGAUAUGUCUUAUGACCUACAUGGAUGUGGUAAAGAACUCGAGUCUCCUCCGUGUUCUCCAUCUUAUAUCGUUGCAGGUAUGUCCGGGGCCGAAAUGAUCAUCGAAGACGAGGAAGACUGACUAGAAGGUAUUGGUAUGAACUUGCAGCAACAACAACCUGAUAGAAGGAGGAAUUUAACAUCAUCUACUGAAAUGACCAAUUCUCCUACGUUUAUCCAAUUGUAGAACAAAUGGAUGGAUUUGGAUUCUGCUUGGAAUUAUAACUCACAAUAGAUAUAGAUAAAAACCACCUAACUUAGUAAAUGUGAGCUUUAUUGCUUAUAUUUCACAUA